Long non-coding RNA from Dermacentor andersoni, 345 nucleotides. RefSeq lists it as uncharacterized. The record is from RefSeq and is a predicted model, not a curated record. NCBI's taxonomy places the organism in Eukaryota, Metazoa, Arthropoda, Arachnida, Ixodida, Ixodidae.
AGGCCACGGAAGAUCCCCAGAAUGUCAACCACUGAUUCCAGAUCUGCACAAUCAGUGUCACAUGUCGACAUUGCCUCGGAGUGUCUACAUCAAUUGCGUACAGUAAAAGCAUCCCAGUCAACGAAAGAAACGCAAGACCUACCAUGCUUCUUCAGUAUGCUAAUCGCACAACAGCUGCAUCUACUUAAUACACAUCAGCAAAUAGACGCAAUAACGGCGCUACAAAAAGUUAUGCACGAGAAAGUGAUGGAACGAAGCAGCAAAGGGACAUAUGUGAAAAAUAGCUUCAUCACUGAUACCACAUACAAGGACCCUCAGUAUGCCAAUAAACUUUUUACUCAUCAG